AGCGAACGCUGGCGGCAGGCUUAACACAUGCAAGUCGAGCGGGCACUUUCGGGUGUCAGCGGCGGACGGGUGAGUAACGCGUGGGAACGUGCCCUCUGGUUCGGAAUAACUCAGGGAAACUUGAGCUAAUACCGGAUACGCCCUUUUGGGGAAAGGCUUGCUGCCGGAGGAUCGGCCCGCGUCUGAUUAGCUAGUUGGUGAGGUAACGGCUCACCAAGGCGACGAUCAGUAGCUGGCCUGAGAGGAUGAUCAGCCACACUGGGACUGAGACACGGCCCAGACUCCUACGGGAGGCAGCAGUGGGGAAUAUUGGACAAUGGGCGCAAGCCUGAUCCAGCCAUGCCGCGUGAGUGAUGAAGGCCUUAGGGUUGUAAAGCUCUUUUAUCCGGGACGAUAAUGACGGUACCGGAGGAAUAAGCCCCGGCUAACUUCGUG
This 435-nucleotide ribosomal RNA is filed under the name uncultured bacterium. Its description in RNAcentral is "partial 16S ribosomal RNA". It matches the Rfam family "Bacterial small subunit ribosomal RNA", at positions 29 to 507 of the family's 1533-position model. The record is from RNAcentral.